RNAcentral lists this ribosomal RNA (435 nucleotides) under uncultured bacterium. RNAcentral describes it as "partial 16S ribosomal RNA". It matches the Rfam family "Bacterial small subunit ribosomal RNA", at positions 29 to 507 of the family's 1533-position model. The record is from RNAcentral.
AGCGAACGCUGGCGGCAGGCUUAACACAUGCAAGUCGAGCGGGCAUCUUCGGAUGUCAGCGGCAGACGGGUGUGUAACACGUGGGAACGUACCCUUCGGUUCGGAACAACUCUGGGACACUUGAGCUAAUACCGGAUACGCCCUUAUGGGGAAAGGUUUACUGCCGAAGGAUCGGCCCGCGUCUGAUUAGCUAGUUGGUGGGGUAACGGCCUACCAAGGCGACGAUCAGUAGCUGGUCUGAGAGGAUGAUCAGCCACACUGGGACUGAGACACGGCCCAGACUCCUACGGGAGGCAGCAGUGGGGAAUAUUGGACAAUGGGCGAAAGCCUGAUCCAGCCAUGCCGCGUGAGUGAUGAAGGCCUUAGGGUUGUAAAGCUCUUUUGUCCGGGACGAUAAUGACGGUACCGGAAGAAUAAGCCCCGGCUAACUUCGUG